RNAcentral lists this long non-coding RNA (578 nucleotides) under Brassica napus (rape). RNAcentral describes it as "long non-coding RNA (BNAP_LNC006450)". The record is from RNAcentral. Lineage: Eukaryota; Viridiplantae; Streptophyta; Magnoliopsida; Brassicales; Brassicaceae.
GAUGGUUAUUCUCUAGUUGGAAGAAUCUCUGGUUUUAAAUUCUACAGGUUCACUCACUCAUGGUUGUCGUAGAGCAAGAUAGAUGUAUAAGGGAAAAGAAUUGUUAACAUAUGUUUUUAAGGCGGACACUAUUAAUUUACGUAGAUUAUUUGGAAGAUAGUGUCAAGUUGUUUGUAACAAUCAAUCAAUAAAGACAAAGUAGGAGAAAAGGAGACAAAAGAUAAAUGUUGGAAGUUGAACCCUACCUCUUGUUCACUUAUCCCAGAAAGAUGUGUUUUUGGCAAUCGCGUAAAUUUUGGAACUGACAUUUUUCCCGUGCCAUUUGAUUCUCAUCUUAUUCUUUUUUAAAUAUAUAACAAAAAUUGAUUUGACCAUUUCAAAGACUAUAAUUUUUUUUUUGCAAUUGUAAAGGGGAGACAAGAUUACAAGAAUCAACGAUUUUCGUGUGUUGAUCUUCACUUUGCACUUCGAACCGGAAUUUCUAGCAACGGUAGAUAUAGCCGUUUACAAUCCAAACGACUAUUCUUUUCAAGGCUACGAAUAUUGCGAAAGUACGUAAUACUAACUCGAUGACCGCU